This 228-nucleotide ribosomal RNA is filed under the name uncultured bacterium. RNAcentral describes it as "partial 16S ribosomal RNA". It matches the Rfam family "Bacterial small subunit ribosomal RNA", at positions 328 to 545 of the family's 1533-position model. The record is from RNAcentral.
ACGCUCGACACCUACGGGAGGAGCAGUGAGGAAUAUUGGUCAAUGGGCGCAGGCCUGAACCAGCCAAGUAGCGUGAAGGAUGACUGCCCUAUGGGUUGUAAACUUCUUUUAUAUGGGAAUAAAGUUUUCCACGUGUGGAAUUUUGUAUGUACCAUAUGAAUAAGGAUCGGCUAACUCCGUGCCAGCACGCCGGACGGUAACUUCGUGGAGGCGGGCGUGGACGAAGGC